UACGAAGGGUGCAAGCGUUACUCGGAAUUACUGGGCGUAAAGCGUGCGUAGGUGGUUUGUUAAGUCUGAUGUGAAAGCCCUGGGCUCAACCUGGGAAUUGCAUUGGAUACUGGCAGGCUAGAGUGCGGUAGAGGGUAGUGGAAUUCCCGGUGUAGCAGUGAAAUGCGUAGAGAUCGGGAGGAACAUCUGUGGCGAAGGCGACUACCUGGACCAGCACUGACACUGAGGCACGAAAGCGUGGGGAGCAAACAGGAUUAGAAACCCGGUGUA
Molecule: ribosomal RNA, 270 nt
Filed under: uncultured bacterium
Lineage: Bacteria
Description: partial 16S ribosomal RNA
Rfam family: Bacterial small subunit ribosomal RNA
Source: RNAcentral